UGGUUCAAACCGGUUUAGUUCUUAUAUUUCAGUGUAUAAACUACAAAAACAUUGGUUUGCAUUAUACAUUCGCCAUUUUACUCUGCAACCGUUGCGUUGUCGUCCGUUAUCUCUACGAUAAAAAAGCUCGUUUUCACGGUUAUAUUUUUGUGAGCUUUUGUCCACUUCCUGUCGACAACAUGGUGAAAUCGUCAAAGAAAAGCUCAUCCACUGAGAUCCAAAGAAAAUCUCCUCGGCUGGCUUCGAAACCAGCAGCUGUAGUACCGGAGAAGAAAAAGAUGGCUGUAAAAAAGGCAGUCAAACCAAAGAAGGGCAAGACAGCUGAAAAUGAGAACGCAAAGGCUGAGGAGACAAAGGCUGAGGUGACUGAGGCCAAAUGAACGGGUGUUGAUGUGCUCACUCUGUGUACUUGGUGAUUGUACAGUUUAAAAUAAGUAUUUUUUACCAAGUUUUAUAUUACAAAAAUGUCAUUUAUAGGUUUGUUUUGGGCUUGCACUUGAUGUCACAAAACUUUGUCACAUUCAUAUCCAUUUAAAAAAGAAUUACCGUCCAUAUCUUGUAGACGUGGCAUUUUUAGUUUGUCUAAUUCUGUUUUUUUUUUUUUUGAACUGCUGAGUAAUAGAUAUUUUUCAACAAGCCUGUUUUGAUUCUAAUUUUAAACAUUAUAAGGCAGCUAAAGCAUUUUGUUAAAAUUGAGGGAGAAUAGGAUUUGUCUUUUCUCUCCUUGAAUUUUAAUGUUAAACUAAUUAAAAAAAAAAAAAAAGAUUGCUUACCAAAUGUUUUGAAACACUGUAUGUUAACAUGAGAUCUAGUCAUUGGAAAUGCCACAGUAAAAUACUGUUAUUAGGUCAAACAUUUGACAUAUCCCAAAAAACAUGUAUGUUGUGAAACCGGUCAUCUGAUGAAACGUUAUCUUAAGUUAUGUUUCUGUUAGGGGAAAAGGAAGCUUUUCUGAUUCAAUGGUUGAUCUAAAUGUUCUUAAAUAAAAAAAUGUAAAAUGUC
Long non-coding RNA from Notolabrus celidotus (New Zealand spotty), 1002 nucleotides. RefSeq lists it as uncharacterized. The record is from RefSeq and is a predicted model, not a curated record. The transcript has 6 exons. Lineage: Eukaryota; Metazoa; Chordata; Actinopteri; Labriformes; Labridae.